AGAUGUGAAAGGGCAAUCAGGAUGGGAUAUCUAUCAUUUCAUGUUCAGCAGGGUUGUUCUGGCUAAUCUGGCUGGCUAGACAGGUUCCCCUUCUUCCCUUACAGCUUCCUAUCCCUCCCUCCUAAAGCUGUGCAUUGAUGGAAGGGAACAACCAUUCCAGAAAGGAGUCUACCAAUCUUCUUUCAAGAAUGUACAAUUAAGUCCCCUGCUAGAAUCACCAAACAAAUUCAAGGUCCAGGGAUUAAGCUGACAGAAGGUGAUGCUUGAUAAGUCAGAGACAACUGUGGAUACGUU
RNAcentral lists this small nuclear RNA (294 nucleotides) under Notechis scutatus (mainland tiger snake). RNAcentral's name for it is "7SK RNA (ENSNSUG00000018630.1)". It matches the Rfam family "7SK RNA". Rfam says of the family: 7SK was discovered as an abundant small nuclear RNA in the mid-70s but a possible function has only recently been suggested. The record is from Rfam by way of RNAcentral. Lineage: Eukaryota; Metazoa; Chordata; Lepidosauria; Squamata; Elapidae.